RNAcentral lists this long non-coding RNA (738 nucleotides) under Neodiprion pinetum (white pine sawfly). Its description in RNAcentral is "uncharacterized LOC124223276". The record is from RNAcentral. Lineage: Eukaryota; Metazoa; Arthropoda; Insecta; Hymenoptera; Diprionidae.
UUUUAAAAUGAUUAUAUUUAAACUACAGAUAAUUCUGAAACCAAACACGUAGUGUGUUUCAAGAUUACAAAAGUUCAGUCAUAUCGCAAGCCUAUUAUCGAUGAGCUUUUACCUAAAACACUUCAAAUGAAAAUCUGGGAACGACUGGAAUAACAAUUUCAAAAAUUAAACUGCCACCUUCAUCGACGAUUUUGGAAUCUUAUACAUGUGUUAGGGGCAAUGGAGGAAAUUUACAAAGCAUAAGACGAUACGUUGGGAGAAGCUUUCUUUACCAACGACCGCGCAAUGCAUCGAUCGCUGUUCGAAGGUGCAGAAUUGCCGACAGUCGACGAAAAGAAGGUGGGUAAUAAUCGCGACGACAGUCAAGAGACCAAAUAUCGUUGACCAACAAUAGUCACAUGUGAAGUUGAAGAAUUCUUUACUGUGCAGCAUUUCUGCGUCAGAGAUCCGGAGAAGAUUGGGAUUAUAAGAUAAUAACGACGAAACAUGAAAUCAUAAAUUGUAGUUGCAGGAGUAAUUUUAUACAUUGGCGCAUUAACGACGAGACACGAGCAAGAUUUUCUGAAAAAAGCGGAUCAAACGAUUUGAGAAAUACGCGACGAAAUGAUUUGGUUACAGAUCCAUCAGAAUUUCGAAUGAAUCGUAUAGCAGUUCAAGUAUACUUUUAACGAUUCUGAUACCUCAGGUAUUGGAUUUUCGAUGAUUGAAUUGACUCGUGUUACGGACUCGAAGUCACUG